RNAcentral lists this long non-coding RNA (610 nucleotides) under Equus asinus (donkey). Its description in RNAcentral is "lncRNA (ENSEASG00005028876.1)". The record is from RNAcentral. Lineage: Eukaryota; Metazoa; Chordata; Mammalia; Perissodactyla; Equidae.
GCUCCCCAACACCCUGUAUGGAAUUUUGGGCAAGUCUACUGAAUGAGAAAAGACCCUUGGAGAGAGAAGCCAGCACUAAGGCCCUAGACAUGUGAAGGAGACCAUCUUAAACCCUCCAACCUCAGUCAAGCUGCCAGAUAACUGAUGCCUCAUGGAAAGCCCAGCUAAGAGCAGCAGAAGUACCACCCAGCUGAGCUCAGUCCUAAUUGUAAACUUAUAAGCAAAUGCAGGCAUACUUCAGAGAUAUUGUAGGUUUGGCUCCAGACCACCACAAUGAAUUGAGUUUGGCAAUCAAGUGAUAAUAAGAUUUCAAUGGCAAGAGCUCUGCAUUCUGUGAUCCCCUAAUUCCAUGAUGAUUUCCACAUUGGUCCAGGGAGAUUGCAGCAGAUAAACUCACAACCAAAAUAGAGACAAGCAGGAUGAAUGAAGUCAAAUCAUGACUUCAUGUUCCAUAUUGGAGAAGUUAUUCUAGCAACAUUUGCACAGAUGUCUUGAGAAUUAGUCUCCAGACAAAGAAUAAAGUAGGAGCAGAAGAUUUGAAUCCAGUGGGAGUUAAAUGUAAAGAAUUUUGGACAAUGCUGAAGAAAUUAGCUUUGAUAUAUUAUGAUUC